RNAcentral lists this ribosomal RNA (250 nucleotides) under uncultured bacterium. RNAcentral describes it as "partial 16S ribosomal RNA". It matches the Rfam family "Bacterial small subunit ribosomal RNA", at positions 61 to 339 of the family's 1533-position model. The record is from RNAcentral.
GUCGAGCGAGAUCUUCGGGUCUAGCGGCGGACGGGUGAGUAACGCGUGGGAACGUACCCUUUUCUACGGAAUAGCCUCGGGAAACUGAGAGUAAUACCGUAUACGCCCUUCGGGGGAAAGAUUUAUCGGAGAAGGAUCGGCCCGCGUUGGAUUAGGUAGUUGGUGGGGUAAUGGCCUACCAAGCCGACGAUCCAUAGCUGGUUUGAGAGGAUGAUCAGCCACACUGGGACUGAGACACGGCCCAGACUCC